RNAcentral lists this long non-coding RNA (1087 nucleotides) under Heterocephalus glaber (naked mole-rat). Its description in RNAcentral is "lncRNA (ENSHGLG00100038137.1)". Lineage: Eukaryota; Metazoa; Chordata; Mammalia; Rodentia; Bathyergidae. The record is from RNAcentral.
CUAGCAGUUCCGACACUCCCAGGGCAAGACCCCUCCCUCCUCCACAGGUGUCCCCAAAGUCUGGGCUCCCCUUCCCAUCCUUGGCCAAGGUUCACUUGUGAGCCCCAAAACCAGGCCCAUGUGGGAGCUGGAUCUCCCAAAGUAGGGUUUGCUCCCCAGACAGCACUGCACAUCUCCUCAGGCUGCUUCUGAGUCUUUCUGUUAAAUCAGAUACCUACUUGAUUUUUAUAAAUGUUUUUUGUCACCCUUUUUAGUACAAGUAAUAGGAAGCAUCAUUUUUGCUUUGUUUUUGUGUAUCAGGGUCUUUACACUGAGCUACAUCCCCAGAGGCAUUUUUUUUUUUUCCAGUACUGGGGACUGAACUCAGGACCUUGCAUUUGCGCUCAGUCUCCAGAACCACUGAGCUAAAUCCCCAGCCCCACCAGAGGCUUUUUUUUUUUUUGUACAGGGGAUCAAACUCAGGACCUUGGGCUUGCAGGGCAGGCAUGGUGCCUCUGAGUUAAAUCCCCCAGCCCCUUUAUUUUUUAUUUUGAGACAAGCUCUUGCUAAAUCACUAAAUUGCCCACAGGCUAGGCUCAAAGUUGUAAUCCUCCUGCCUCAGCCCCACAGAGUGCUGAGAUUACAAGCAUGCACCACCAGGCCUUGCUAGGAAGCAGUUUUCUUGUUGUUGUGUCUGUGCUGAUGAUGGUGACUUAACCCCCUCUGUACUGGGACUUGAACUCAGGACCUCACACAUACUCAGCACAUGCUCUACCACUGAGAUACUCAUCCACCUCCAGCCCAUGGUGGUGAUUGUUUUGUUUGUUUUUUAAAACAGGGUCUCAUUAUGUAGUUCAGGCUGGCCUUGAACUCAAGAACUCAUGGCAAUCCUCCUGAGUGCUAGGAUUAUAGAUGUGCACCACCACACCCAGCCAGAGAGCCUUUUUGAAGGAACAACUGACAAGACAAAAUGACUAAGUAGACAAGACCCAAGGAUGACCUAGAGUUCCACAUUUUUAAGAAACUUUACAUCUCUACUCUGAAACUUCAUGCAUGGAUGAAUGUACAAAUAAUAGAGAAAUAAGGACAACAGGAAAUGGAAAGAUGG